This 253-nucleotide ribosomal RNA is filed under the name uncultured bacterium. RNAcentral's name for it is "partial 16S ribosomal RNA". It matches the Rfam family "Bacterial small subunit ribosomal RNA", at positions 524 to 776 of the family's 1533-position model. The record is from RNAcentral.
UACGAAGGGGGCUAGCGUUGCUCGGAAUCACUGGGCGUCAAGCGCACGUAGGCGGAUUGUUAAGUCAGGGGUGAAAUCCUGGAGCUCAACUCCAGAACUGCCUUUGAUACUGGCGAUCUUGAGUCCGGGAGAGGUGAGUGGAACUGCGAGUGUAGAGGUGAAAUUCGUAGAUAUUCGCAAGAACACCAGUGGCGAAGGCGGCUCACUGGCCCGGUACUGACGCUGAGGUGCGAAAGCGUGGGGAGCAAACAGG